CAAGCUAUAUCAGACCAGCUAAUUUAUCAAACUGGAGAACUGUGAGUCCCACGACUUACAGUUCAUGAGGAACUUCAGUUUGGUGGCAGCUCCAAGACAGCUCCAACUCAAGGCUCAUCCAAACACAGCCUCUAACUUAAGAGACACAAGCAGCCUUCCAAGAGCAGAAGAAAUUCUCAUCCACCCUAACGCAAAGCCUCCAUUUCUUCACAGAGGUUUGGAUUUGUCUGUAUAACUUGCUUCAAAAUCUUUCACCUCACCUCACUUUAUAAGACAAUGUAAGGUAAGGCCCAUGUUUAUGAAAAUUUGCAAAUUUGCAGGUUCCGGCUCAUGGAAU
Molecule: long non-coding RNA, 337 nt
Organism: Paramormyrops kingsleyae
Lineage: Eukaryota; Metazoa; Chordata; Actinopteri; Osteoglossiformes; Mormyridae
Source: RefSeq, a predicted model, not a curated record